GGCAAUGUGGCUUAGUAAUAGAGCACUUGCUUAGUGUGCAGAAGGCCUGGUUUCAAUCACCAACAUUGGCA
This 71-nucleotide transfer RNA is filed under the name Ictidomys tridecemlineatus (thirteen-lined ground squirrel). RNAcentral's name for it is "Spermophilus tridecemlineatus (thirteen-lined ground squirrel) tRNA". It matches the Rfam family "tRNA". Rfam says of the family: Transfer RNA (tRNA) molecules are approximately 80 nucleotides in length. Lineage: Eukaryota; Metazoa; Chordata; Mammalia; Rodentia; Sciuridae. The record is from Rfam by way of RNAcentral.